CUGUCAGCCUUACCUGCCUCAUCAAACCAUUUCUGAAGCUUUGUUCUGAGUAUCAGUUACUAAUUAUUUAUCAACUCACUUGACUGAUUUUAUUUCAUGAGGAUGUUAUCCCUUUCCACAUUUUUGAAGGAUUUAAGCUAUUUUGAGCUAAGACAUUGUGCAGCUAAGACAUUUGUUUUUUAAUCACACAUUUUUUUAUUAAGUAUAGUUAUUAAAGUAUGGCUAUUAUGCUCUCUAAUUCCAGCAUAAGCAAACACAUACAUAAAGCAUGUUAAGAAAAACAUUUCAUUUAAAUUUUUUUAUAUAAAACGCAUGACUAUACUAAGCAUCACUUACAGAGCUAACUUUCAUUGUUUUACACUGGAUUUUUGUUACUGAGGGAUGCCCCAAGAGAAUAGAUCUAUUUCACUAUACCAGUGGGUAGAGGAUAGGUGGUACGGGGCAGGUUUGUUUGUUUCUUUUAAGUGAAUUUGGUAUCUGUGAAAUGUAUAGCAACUUGAGGUUUCCAGAUUUUCUCAAAUUGUUGUUUCUUCUCUUGCUUUUUGUUGUUGUUGUUGUUUUUCUUGUUCUUAAUGUGCUAAAGUGAUUAUUUGCUUUUAGCUAUGCCUUCUAAGAUUGCUCUAGCCCUCCAUCCAUGAUGUAAUUCACAUUGAUCUGGAAAAUAGACCCAAACAAAUUACACUUAACCAAGUGUUCCCUUUUUUUUUUUUUUUUUUUUAAUAACUUCUUGAGGCCUCCACAUAAACUUCUCAAAGCUUCUUGUGGUAUGACAGCAAUAUAUUCUUCUUGGCUUUCAGUUCAUGUUAUCGGCUGUACAAUAUAUAAACGUAUUCACUGAAUGAGAUAAUUCAUGAAAGUCCCAGAUCAUGCAAAUAAUGUUACUCAUUAGGAUAUUAUUAUCUACCUUAGAUAAAGAGUAUACAAGAGUAUAAACUUUUCUGGGAUUGCACUAUACAUUAGGCAAGUUUAAUGAAAUUAAGUAGUUUGGAAAUAUAAGUAGUAUCAAUUUCUAGCCAAUCGUUGUCUAUAUAUAUAGAUAUUGAAUGUGUCUUAAAAGAAGAAUUUCAAGGAAAUAUGACAGUGUCAUGUGUGAGAAGUAGCUUUUUCCUUCUUUGGUAAGCAUUACAGAUGAAGGAAAGAGAAGUGACAACUUAGUUUACUCAUUUAAUGAAGCAAUAGUUUUUUUACAUUUAUAUAUGCCCAGAUUGCAGGAAGUCUUAAAGGUAAAGACAAGAGAAAAAACAAAAAGGAAAAAAAUCAUAAUUAGGCAGAAAAUCCCUAUUAGAUAUAAAAUUUCAAACAGGAAAUGACUCUGAUAAUGUCAUAGCAGCAGCAGACAACAG
This is a long non-coding RNA of Herpailurus yagouaroundi (jaguarundi), 1343 nucleotides long. RefSeq lists it as uncharacterized. NCBI's taxonomy places the organism in Eukaryota, Metazoa, Chordata, Mammalia, Carnivora, Felidae. The record is from RefSeq and is a predicted model, not a curated record. The transcript is spliced from 2 exons.